This is a long non-coding RNA of Grammomys surdaster, 2067 nucleotides long. RefSeq lists it as uncharacterized. NCBI's taxonomy places the organism in Eukaryota, Metazoa, Chordata, Mammalia, Rodentia, Muridae. The record is from RefSeq and is a predicted model, not a curated record. The transcript has 9 exons.
UCGGGCCCGGUGUGGUUACUGCCGCUACUGUUGCCGAUGCUCCCGGAGACCACACGGCUGGGCCGGUCAGCAGCAGGGAAGAGGACAAAGCAGGAUGUCGCGGCCGGUCUUUCCGGCUCAAGGUUAGGGAUCAGAGAGAUACAAGGAUGGACACUAAAAGAUGAAGCCAAGUAAGAACUGGGCAAGAAACUGUUGCUGACCAGUACUCACACAUCUAGAUCAUCAUACCAGUUGCCAUCUGCUUUGUAGCAAGACAUAAAAAUAAUGGUUUGGAGCAUGAUGCAUAUUGUGUCAGGAAGAUUUAUUCUGGAGGAGUCUGGAACAGGAACUUUAGUGUGAGGCAUAAACAUAUUUUGGGAUUAAAGUACAUCAUUCAGCUCUGCUACCACGGAUAUGAUUGGCUUAGAGAAGAUUGAAACUUUGUCCUUCUGUGCAGGCCUGGCUGUUUUCACUUCAUACUUGUUUCCUGUAUGCUGUUGCAAAUGGAAGAGUUUCCUUCCUUUGGUGUGGCAGGCUACCACAUCUUCACCUAUCCAGAGGAGUUUUGAUUUGAUGGAGCCCCAUAGAUUGGUGUAUGCACUUAUUCCUUUUGUGCCUUACUUCCUGGUCUGGCCACUCUGGAGGUCUUCACCUUCUUCAUCUUCAGCUGUUAACAGCUAGCCAUCAUUCUUGGCCUCACAGCUUCCACUUGGAUGCACUUGUUCCUCACUCUUGCUGCUGCUUUGUGUUAUCAGCUCAGCUUACACUACAAAACUGAGGUAGAUAUCCAGUGGUGUCAACAUGUAGUUUCCACAGUGUGUAAGGUUUUUGAGAGUAACCAGGAGAUGGAAGCAUUGGACUAAGGAAUGAACACUUCCAUUCCCGUCCAAGGCUGCUGUGGGAGCCAUGUGCUGCUGUACCUGCUGUGCCAUUACCAGGUAGAAGAAAGAAAUGAUACACAGAAUGCUUCUAGUUCUUCAGCUGUUAGGAUUCUACUUCUCGCAUCACUGAUCGUCCCUGGAUUUGCCACCAUAGGAAUGGACUUAAAGCAUAGAAGAAGCAAGUGGGAGUGAGUCAUGAAGACUUGUUCCAAGGCUACAGAAAGCCCGCGCAUCCAGGCACUAAGUAUAAUUGUUGGAGUCCCUGGAAAAAUACCCAGAAAAGCCAUUGCAUGGAGCUGGGAAGAUGAAGCCCAAGUUACAGCAGAGGGACUAGGAUAUUGGAGAUUCAUUCUAGACUUGUGCUUAUCCACUGAGGAAAGCUGCAAGAACACAGUGGAACAAGCCCAAGACAGAAGUCACAUGUGCUGUAGGUGGCAGAACUGGAGUGCUACUACUACCCAAAUUUAGACCUCAAAUGGUCCAUCCUAUCAUGAUACAUGCUAGCCAUGGAGCUAGAGGAUUAGAUGUUAGUUGUAACUAGGGUUUUGUUUUGCUUUAAUCCAGCUGUUCCUUGCUGUUCUCCCAUUAUUUCCCAUUUAGAGUGGGGCUGUUUCUUCUUUUUAUGUAUAUUAGAAGUGUUCAACUUGUAUUUUGAUUUCAUAGGUGCUCAAAAUUAAGAAAUGGUCUGGAGCCUCAGAAGAGACUGAAUUUUUGAGCAGAGCUGUAACUGUUAAAGACUAUGAGAGCUUUUAGAGAGAGACUAAAUGAAUUCUGAGAUGAACAUGAGACUUUAUGAACCAGGGUAGAAUACUAAGGUGAUAUGUUUGGUGUUGGGUUGGCAGGAAGUGGAAUUAUAAUUUUUGUUACCAAUUUAACAGGAUUUAGAAUCACUAGGAGACAGCUCUGUGCUUGUAUGUAAGUGCAGAUCUAGACAGAUUUACCUUAGAAGGGAAAUUUUCCCUUAAAUAAAUGUUGUGACAUCCUAUGAACUGGAGUCCCACACAGAAUAAAAAGGAGAACUGAGAGGAGUACCAAUAUCAUCUCUUUAUACUUCCUUCUGCCACUUAUUGAAUAAUCAGGUGAGUGUAUUUCUGUUCGUCUGUUUAUGGGUUCUCCAUUCAUUUCUGGGUUGUGUCUUACGCUACCCCAGUAGUAAAUCUCAAUAGCCUUUGUCUGUAUAAUAAACUUUAAUAUCUGAUAGAGUGAU